Molecule: ribosomal RNA, 1438 nt
Filed under: uncultured organism
Description: SSU rRNA
Rfam family: Bacterial small subunit ribosomal RNA
Source: RNAcentral
GAACGCUAGCUACAGGCUUAACACAUGCAAGUCGAGGGGCAGCAUCAUCAAAGCUUGCUUUGAUGGAUGGCGACCGGCGCACGGGUGAGUAACACGUAUCCAACCUGCCGACAACACUGGGAUAGCCUUUCGAAAGAAAGAUUAAUACCGGAUGGUAUAGUUUUCCCGCAUGGGAUAAUUAUUAAAGAAUUUCGGUUGUCGAUGGGGAUGCGUUCCAUUAGGCAGUUGGCGGGGUAACGGCCCACCAAACCUACGAUGGAUAGGGGUUCUGAGAGGAAGGUCCCCCACAUUGGAACUGAGACACGGUCCAAACUCCUACGGGAGGCAGCAGUGAGGAAUAUUGGUCAAUGGACGAGAGUCUGAACCAGCCAAGUAGCGUGAAGGAUGACUGCCCUAUGGGUUGUAAACUUCUUUUAUACGGGAAUAAAGUUAGCCACGUGUGGUUUUUUUGUAUGUACCGUAUGAAUAAGGAUCGGCUAACUCCGUGCCAGCAGCCGCGGUAAUACGGAGGAUCCGAGCGUUAUCCGGAUUUAUUGGGUUUAAAGGGAGCGUAGGCGGGUUGUUAAGUCAGUUGUGAAAGUUUGCGGCUCAACCGUAAAAUUGCAGUUGAUACUGGCGACCUUGAGUGCAACAGAGGUAGGCGGAAUUCGUGGUGUAGCGGUGAAAUGCUUAGAUAUCACGAAGAACUCCGAUUGCGAAGGCAGCUUACUGGAUUGUAACUGACGCUGAUGCUCGAAAGUGUGGGUAUCAAACAGGAUUAGAUACCCUGGUAGUCCACACAGUAAACGAUGAAUACUCGCUGUUGGCGAUAUACAGUCAGCGGCCAAGCGAAAGCAUUAAGUAUUCCACCUGGGGAGUACGCCGGCAACGGUGAAACUCAAAGGAAUUGACGGGGGCCCGCACAAGCGGAGGAACAUGUGGUUUAAUUCGAUGAUACGCGAGGAACCUUACCCGGGCUUAAAUUGCAACUGACGGAACCGGAAACGGUUCUUUCUUCGGACAGUUGUGAAGGUGCUGCAUGGUUGUCGUCAGCUCGUGCCGUGAGGUGUCGGCUUAAGUGCCAUAACGAGCGCAACCCUUACGGGUAGUUACCAUCAGGUUAUGCUGGGGACUCUACCCGGACUGCCGUCGUAAGAUGUGAGGAAGGUGGGGAUGACGUCAAAUCAGCACGGCCCUUACGUCCGGGGCUACACACGUGUUACAAUGGGGGGUACAGAAGGCAGCUACACGGCGACGUGGUGCUAAUCCCAAAAGCCUCUCUCAGUUCGGAUUGGAGUCUGCGACCCGACUCCAUGAAGCUGGAUUCGCUAGUAAUCGCGCAUCAGCCACGGCGCGGUGAAUACGUUCCCGGGCCUUGUACACACCGCCCGUCAAGCCAUGAAAGCCGGGGGUACCUGAAGUACGUAACCGCGAGGAGCGUCCUAGGGUAAAACUGGUA